This is a long non-coding RNA of Glycine soja, 1851 nucleotides long. RefSeq lists it as uncharacterized. The transcript is spliced from 5 exons. The record is from RefSeq and is a predicted model, not a curated record. Lineage: Eukaryota; Viridiplantae; Streptophyta; Magnoliopsida; Fabales; Fabaceae.
CUAAGAUAUCCGGUGGGCGACGCUAGAUAUAUCGAGAAGUUUUCCUGAAAUUUCAGUUUGUGUUAGUUUAGAUUGAAAGCGAGAAUGGCAGUGAAGAAGUGUUACUGCGAGAAGCAAUUCCAAGACACACCAGCGGAUCGGAAACGGCACGUUCAGGGUAUUCAACAGCAGCAGGCCAAAGCUCGCUGGGAUUUUGCCGUUACGGCGACUCUUGCAAAUAUCUCCAUCCCAUUCCCAACAACAAUCUACAGCAGCCCCCAGUCCUAACCACACCGUCACCGUCACCGCCACCAGGGAAUGUGGUAGGAGUUUCAUUGGACAAUCUUCCCCCCUUGCUUCAGCCUCCACCUGAAGGUGUAUAUCCCCACCUUCCCUUCUCGACUGGGGAUAAAUUUAUUAUUAAUCAUUCAUCAAGUUAACGAGAAAAAGUAAGAACCAAGAUUAAGCAAUGGAUCAAGAAAGCUUCCUGUAACAAAGAAUUUACAAAACGUGAAGAUAAAAAAAAGAGCCUAGGAGCAAGACUACACAAGUUAGACACACCUUCAUCUUAAAGAUUUUGGUACUUCAGAACCCUCGAUCAAAGGAGAAAGAAAGAUUGUGAAAAUAGUAACAAAUAUAAUGAGUUGCAUGGUUCAACUGAUAGCAUAAAGAAAGUUGUGAUUCUAGGAGAUAUUUCACAGAUCUUGAUUCGUUGGUUGUUUAUGAGAAAGAAUUAUGUUUAGAUUUUUUUAGUAAUAUUUCAGCCUUUCCAGAAACCUCUAUCGAAGGGAGAAAGAAAGACCAGGUCCAUAUCUUUGGUGGACCAGUGAUUUUGGUGGUUCAUUUUAGACCAUGUUGUGUUAGCUGUUAGAUAUGACAGUCUGAUAUUGAACGGUCAGUAAUUGUUGACUGGAACUGGUUGUUGUGGGUGAAAGUAAUUGUAUUUUAUGUUUUUUUUAUAUUAGUUGGUUGUAUUUGACCUUUUUACCCUUUAUAUAUUUUUGUCAUUUUGCUGAUAGUCUUUACGGCUCAUUCGACGACAGGCUUUCUCUUUUACCGGCGUGUUAGUUAUAUAUUUAGUUUUGUUUUUAUCAUGCAUUUUCGACCAUAAAUGAUGAAGAUGAUCGGGUUUUUACCUUGCGUUUUGAUUUCUUGGUUUUUGUUUUAAAGCAUUUGUUUUCUAUUGGACAAGGAAUUGUUUCACCAUGGAUUUCACGAUUUGAGUGGUUUAAGCAGAUGUUUGGAGUAGUUUUGGGGAUGAGAGGCAUUGUAAAGGAGCUAACGAGAAUAAGCAUGGAUUGGUUGUGAUUUAGUUGAAUGGAAGCUACAUUAAGAGUUUUGGUACAUCAACAACAAAGGAAGAAUUUGAGUUGAUGAAGCAGCCCCCUUGCACAUGCUUAAUACGUUAGAGUUAGCUUGGAAGGUCCCAUGGUAAGUAUCUAGAGGUUGCUGGGAGAAAUUUGAAGUUUGGUGUGUGCUGAGCUAAUUGUUCUCACUACCAUUGAUUUGGGUUAAGUGCACACCUCAAGCUUAGCGCACAGUCACUUAAUCAAGUGUUGUUUUUGUAUGCGCGUUUAGCGCAGAAGUUGGGCUUAGCGCGUAAGCCAUUUUGAAAAAACGACAAUACAAUCCUUAUGGACCUAUUUAAACCUUUUUUUUCAUGGGGAUGGAGGUAACAUCGAUCAAGAGUUGUGUGUGGCAAUUGAGGAGCUCCCAUCUUUCAUUUCUCUUCAUCUUCUCCCUUCCAUUUUGUAAUUUUGAGGUCUCUCAUGACAAUGAGAGUUUAGUUCAUCCAUUGUUGGGAACAUUGGUGUGUUAAGUCACUUUCAUGUAAUUAAUCUUUAUAUUUAUUCAGUGUUAUUUCUUAAGUUA